Molecule: ribosomal RNA, 107 nt
Filed under: Escherichia coli M919
Lineage: Bacteria; Pseudomonadati; Pseudomonadota; Gammaproteobacteria; Enterobacterales; Enterobacteriaceae
Also listed under: 7 other names
Source: RNAcentral
GUAGCGCGGUGGUCCCACCUGACCCCAUGCCGAACUCAGAAGUGAAACGCCGUAGCGCCGAUGGUAGUGUGGGGUCUCCCCAUGCGAGAGUAGGGAACUGCCAGGCA